GUGGGGAAUAUUCCGCAAUGGACGAAAGUCUGACGGAGCAACGCCGCGUGAGUGAUGAAGGUUUUCGGACUGUAAAGCUCUGUUGUUUGGGACGAAAGUGCCUGUUGCGAACAGUUACGGGUAUUGACGGUACUAAACGAGGAAGCCACUGCUAACUACGUGCCAGCAGCCGCGGUAAUACGUAGGUGGCAAGCGUUGUCCGGAAUUAUUGGGCGUAAAGAGCAUGUAGGCGGGAAUCUAAGUCUGUUGUGAAAAUGCGGGGCUCAACCCCGUAUUGCGAUGGAAACUGGGUUUCUUGAGUGCAGGAGAGGAAAGGGGAAUUCCCAGUGUAGCGGUGAAAUGCGUAGAUAUUGGGAGGAACACCAGUGGCGAAGGCGCCUUUCUGGACUGUGUCUGACGCUGAGAUGCGAAAGCCAGGGUAGCGAACGGGAUUAGAUACCCUAGUAGUCC
RNAcentral lists this ribosomal RNA (450 nucleotides) under uncultured bacterium. Its description in RNAcentral is "partial 16S ribosomal RNA". It matches the Rfam family "Bacterial small subunit ribosomal RNA", at positions 354 to 796 of the family's 1533-position model. The record is from RNAcentral.